CAGGAAGAGAAAUCGGACAGGUAGAACCCCAAGCGUUUUUGGCGAGGGAGUAAUAGAAAGAACGAGAGGGUUUGCAAGUGGAAGAAGCGUUGUUAUGGCUGUGGGAUAGAGUAAGAGGGAGUAAUUGGCUGAGAAAUAAACAUGUCAUUGCUCGGCUUCUGCGUAUCAAUAGCAUCGCUAACCAGAUUCUUCUUUAUUUCCGUCUCACCAUUCCUGGAUAAAUCUUGAUUUUGCAAAACCG
This 241-nucleotide unclassified non-coding RNA is filed under the name Hevea brasiliensis (rubber tree). Lineage: Eukaryota; Viridiplantae; Streptophyta; Magnoliopsida; Malpighiales; Euphorbiaceae. The record is from RNAcentral.